GUCUGUGUGCCGCCUUGCAUUCCGUUUCUCAGUCAUGGGGGCCUGCUUGCAACACCAGUGGCAAAGCAGUCUUGCAUUGUGCUAUUUGUUCUGGAAGGACACAAGCAUUGAGGAGCCAUUUGACCUGCCACUACACUGAUACGGUAUUUGGCAAAGGCAGGAGGCAUCUGCAAGCAACCAGUCAUUCCGAUUCUGAAC
Molecule: long non-coding RNA, 198 nt
Organism: Dermacentor silvarum
Lineage: Eukaryota; Metazoa; Arthropoda; Arachnida; Ixodida; Ixodidae
Exons: 3
Source: RefSeq, a predicted model, not a curated record